UACGGAGGGGGCUAGCGUUGUUCGGAAUUACUGGGCGUAAAGGGCGCGUAGGCGGCCACCGCAAGUCAAUUGUGAAAUCUCCGGGCUUAACUCGGAAAGGUCAACUGAUACUGCGGGGCUAGAGUGCGGAAGGGGCAACUGGAAUUCUCGGUGUAGCGGUGAAAUGCGUAGAUAUCGAGAGGAACACCUGCGGCGAAGGCGGGUUGCUGGGCCGACACUGACGCUGAUGCGCGAAAGCCAGGGGAGCGAACGGG
RNAcentral lists this ribosomal RNA (254 nucleotides) under uncultured bacterium. Its description in RNAcentral is "partial 16S ribosomal RNA". It matches the Rfam family "Bacterial small subunit ribosomal RNA", at positions 524 to 776 of the family's 1533-position model. The record is from RNAcentral.